RNAcentral lists this ribosomal RNA (362 nucleotides) under uncultured bacterium. RNAcentral describes it as "partial 16S ribosomal RNA". It matches the Rfam family "Bacterial small subunit ribosomal RNA", at positions 338 to 699 of the family's 1533-position model. The record is from RNAcentral.
CCUACGGGGGGCAGCAGUGGGGAAUAUUGCACAAUGGGGGAAACUCUGAUGCAGCGACGCCGCGUGAGUGAAGAAGCGUCUCGGCGCGUAAAGCUCUGUUUGUGGGGAAGAAACACGGUUCGCGAGAGCCGCGGACGGUACCCGACCAAGAAGCCCCGGCUAACUACGUGCCAGCAGCCGCGGUAAUACGGAGGGGGCAAGCGUGAUCCGGAUUCACUGGGUGUAAAGGGAGCGUAGACGGCGAGACAAGUCUGGGGUGAAAGGCCGGGGCCCAACCCCGGGACUGCCCUGGAAACUGUCUGGCUGGAGUGCAGGAGAGGUAAGUGGAAUUCCUAGUGUAGCGGUGAAAUGCGUAGAUAUUA